This is a long non-coding RNA of Monodelphis domestica (gray short-tailed opossum), 1273 nucleotides long. RefSeq lists it as uncharacterized. NCBI's taxonomy places the organism in Eukaryota, Metazoa, Chordata, Mammalia, Didelphimorphia, Didelphidae. The record is from RefSeq and is a predicted model, not a curated record.
GAAUGCUGGCAGAUGCUAUUUGGAGAAAAUCCCAGUGACCCAGGACUGGAACACAAAAGAGUUUGGGGCUAACCCCCAGAAAAUCUAGGUCACCACACACUCACCUAGGAGGACUCCAGUCAACUAAUAUCUGGUUAUAAGCUGUUAUUUCCUAAUCUAAGUGGGAUGGAAGGACUCAUCCAUUGGGGAAUGGUUGAUGGAGUAAUAUAUGAAAAUAAUGCAAUAUUAUCAUAUUAUAAGAAAUCAUUAUAGAGAUAAUUACAGAGAAUCCUGGGUAUAUGAACUUAUGGAGAAUGAAUCAAGCAGAACCAUGAGAACAACUUAUGUAAGGACAACAAUAUCACAAAGAAAAACAGCUUUGAAAGACAGCUCUGGUCAAUCCAAUGGCCAACAUGUCUCCAGAGGACCAAUGAUGAAGAAUGUUGCCUUCAUCCUGACAAAAAGGUGAUGGACUCAAGGUGAAAACUGAAACAUAUGUUUUUGGACAUUAUUGAGUGUAAAACCCUCAAGGUCACACUUUAGGAAAUGUGCUUUCCCAGGUGGCAGUGACCCUCUUGGAUAUCCUGGCAGAAAAGAAGAAAGAGAUCCCUUUUCGCUGCUCACAAAAAGCACAUGAGCUAGUUGGGGAAGAAGUUUUGUCCAUGUGAAAUAUUAAGAGAACCAUCCAACAACCAAUGUGUGAUCAAUGGUGUACAAUAUAAGAGGUGUACAAAUGGUUGUACCAAGUCCACAUGUUCUGGGAGGAAAGAACUGGAAGAAAUAACCAAUCCUUUGGUUGAGGUGAGAAACAGCUGGUAUAAUGGAAAGAGAUUUGUAUUUGAUGUCAGAACUCCAACCCAAUCCAAUCUAAUCCAGGAGUGCUUGGGACACAAAGAAAAAGGGGGAAACGGUUCUUGCCCUCAAGAGUUUACCAUGUAAGAAGAUAAUUAUAUAUGUGAUAAUUUGGUGAAGAGGGAGGGAGUCCUUACAAGAACUGGCAGAACUGAUCUGGAACCCAAGACUCCUGACUCCGGUUCCAGAUUUUGUUUUGUUUUUAUUUAUAACACACACAACCGCACUGGACCUCAGUUUCCUCCUAUGGAAAAAUGAAGGUGAUCAUCCCUGUUUUGCCUCUCUACCAGGAUUAUUGGGAAGAUUGAAAUGAGAUAAUGGAUAAAAAUGGCCGGGGGGGGGUGGAUUUUGUAAACUGUAGAGGGUAGCCCAAAUGGGAAGGACUAUUGUUAAGAACAACCCCUUAAGGAAAAGGGGGAAAAUAAUAAACAUUUAUGAAGUA